Molecule: ribosomal RNA, 436 nt
Filed under: Bacillus safensis
Lineage: Bacteria; Bacillati; Bacillota; Bacilli; Caryophanales; Bacillaceae
Description: bacterial SSU rRNA
Rfam family: Bacterial small subunit ribosomal RNA
Source: RNAcentral
GGACAGAAGGGAGCUUGCUCCCGGAUGUUAGCGGCGGACGGGUGAGUAACACGUGGGUAACCUGCCUGUAAGACUGGGAUAACUCCGGGAAACCGGAGCUAAUACCGGAUAGUUCCUUGAACCGCAUGGUUCAAGGAUGAAAGACGGUUUCGGCUGUCACUUACAGAUGGACCCGCGGCGCAUUAGCUAGUUGGUGGGGUAAUGGCUCACCAAGGCGACGAUGCGUAGCCGACCUGAGAGGGUGAUCGGCCACACUGGGACUGAGACACGGCCCAGACUCCUACGGGAGGCAGCAGUAGGGAAUCUUCCGCAAUGGACGAAAGUCUGACGGAGCAACGCCGCGUGAGUGAUGAAGGUUUUCGGAUCGUAAAGCUCUGUUGUUAGGGAAGAACAAGUGCGAGAGUAACUGCUCGCACCUUGCCGGUACCUAACCACA